Pseudophryne corroboree (corroboree frog) is the source of this 237-nucleotide small nucleolar RNA. RefSeq annotates it as small nucleolar RNA SNORA72. The record is from RefSeq and is a predicted model, not a curated record. NCBI's taxonomy places the organism in Eukaryota, Metazoa, Chordata, Amphibia, Anura, Myobatrachidae. The transcript has a single exon.
CUGUCAAUUUUUUCCCCGCAUUUUUAGAACCAGGACCAGCUCGAAGAGCCCGAGGCUGGUUAUGCUUUGGAGGGGGGACCCCACGCCAUUUUUUUUUAUGAUUUUACCGUUCCAGCUCAUCGAGCUGGUCCUGGUUCUAAAAAUGCGGGAAAAAAAUUGACAGGGAAUCCCCCGUAUUUUUAAAACCAGCACCGGGCUCUGCGCCUGGUGCUGGUGCCAAAAAUACGGGGGACAAAA